Molecule: unclassified non-coding RNA, 214 nt
Filed under: Hevea brasiliensis (rubber tree)
Lineage: Eukaryota; Viridiplantae; Streptophyta; Magnoliopsida; Malpighiales; Euphorbiaceae
Source: RNAcentral
GGUCAUUCAUGCAUUUGAAGGAAGAUAACGUGCUUCAGUCAACAAUCCAUGUGCUUAUAGGGAAAAAUAUAAUUAGAAAGAAUAUAACAUAGGAGACACGAAGAAGGAAUAUUAUAAGAAAUUGAAAAGCAUCAAGUCUUCACUAGAUAUGUUAGUCUAACCCUUGGAAAAAUAAACAAUUCAACAUUAUAAGGAGAAUAAGAAUCUUUAUGAU